CCUACAGGGGGCAGCAGUGGGGAAUAUUGGACAAUGGGGGGAACCCUGAUCCAGCCAUGCCGCGUGUGUGAAGAAGGCCCUCGGGUUGUAAAGCACUUUCAGUGAGGAAGAACGCCUGGUGGUUAAUACCCAUCAGGAAAGACAUCACUCACAGAAGAAGCACCGGCUAACUCCGUGCCAGCAGCCGCGGUAAUACGGAGGGUGCGAGCGUUAAUCGGAAUUACUGGGCGUAAAGCGCGCGUAGGUGGCUUGAUAAGCCGGUUGUGAAAGCCCCGGGCUCAACCUGGGAACGGCAUCCGGAACUGUCAAGCUAGAGUGCAGGAGAGGAAGGUAGAAUUCCCGGUGUAGCGGUGAAAUGCGUAGAGAUCGGGAGGAAUACCAGUGGCGAAGGCGGCCUUCUGGACUGACACUGACACUGAGGUGCGAAAGCGUGGGUAGCAAACAGGAUUAGAUACCCCUGUAGUC
This 465-nucleotide ribosomal RNA is filed under the name Vreelandella stevensii. Its description in RNAcentral is "partial 16S ribosomal RNA". It matches the Rfam family "Bacterial small subunit ribosomal RNA", at positions 338 to 795 of the family's 1533-position model. Lineage: Bacteria; Pseudomonadati; Pseudomonadota; Gammaproteobacteria; Oceanospirillales; Halomonadaceae. The record is from RNAcentral.